UGCGUAGGCGGCUUGGUGGGUCUGGUGUGAAAGCCCCGGGCUCAGCCCGGGAAGGACACUAGAAACUGCCAAGCUGGAGUGCCGGAGGGGAGAGUGGAAUUCCUGGUGUAGCGGUGAAAUGCGUAGAUAUCAGGGGGAAUACCGGUGGCGAAAGCGACUCUCUGGACGGCAACUGACGCUGAGGCACGAAAGCGUGGGGAGCAAACA
Molecule: ribosomal RNA, 207 nt
Filed under: uncultured bacterium
Lineage: Bacteria
Description: partial 16S ribosomal RNA
Rfam family: Bacterial small subunit ribosomal RNA
Source: RNAcentral